GGUUAAGCGACUAAGCGUACACGGUGGAUGCCCUGGCAGUCAGAGGCGAUGAAGGACGUGCUAAUCUGCGAUAAGCGUCGGUAAGGUGAUAUGAACCGUUAUAACCGGCGAUUUCCGAAUGGGGAAACCCAGUGUGUUUCGACACACUAUCAUUAACUGAAUCCAUAGGUUAAUGAGGCGAACCGGGGGAACUGAAACAUCUAAGUACCCCGAGGAAAAGAAAUCAACCGAGAUUCCCCCAGUAGCGGCGAGCGAACGGGGAGCAGCCCAGAGCCUGAAUCAGUGUGUGUGUUAGUGGAAGCGUCUGGAAAGGCGCGCGAUACAGGGUGACAGCCCCGUACACAAAAAUGCACAUGCUGUGAGCUCGAUGAGUAGGGCGGGACACGUGGUAUCCUGUCUGAAUAUGGGGGGACCAUCCUCCAAGGCUAAAUACUCCUGACUGACCGAUAGUGAACCAGUACCGUGAGGGAAAGGCGAAAAGAACCCCGGCGAGGGGAGUGAAAAAGAACCUGAAACCGUGUACGUACAAGCAGUGGGAGCACGCUUAGGCGUGUGACUGCGUACCUUUUGUAUAAUGGGUCAGCGACUUAUAUUCUGUAGCAAGGUUAACCGAAUAGGGGAGCCGAAGGGAAACCGAGUCUUAACUGGGCGUUAAGUUGCAGGGUAUAGACCCGAAACCCGGUGAUCUAGCCAUGGGCAGGUUGAAGGUUGGGUAACACUAACUGGAGGACCGAACCGACUAAUGUUGAAAAAUUAGCGGAUGACUUGUGGCUGGGGGUGAAAGGCCAAUCAAACCGGGAGAUAGCUGGUUCUCCCCGAAAGCUAUUUAGGUAGCGCCUCGUGAAUUCAUCUCCGGGGGUAGAGCACUGUUUCGGCAAGGGGGUCAUCCCGACUUACCAACCCGAUGCAAACUGCGAAUACCGGAGAAUGUUAUCACGGGAGACACACGGCGGGUGCUAACGUCCGUCGUGAAGAGGGAAACAACCCAGACCGCCAGCUAAGGUCCCAAAGUCAUGGUUAAGUGGGAAACGAUGUGGGAAGGCCCAGACAGCCAGGAUGUUGGCUUAGAAGCAGCCAUCAUUUAAAGAAAGCGUAAUAGCUCACUGGUCGAGUCGGCCUGCGCGGAAGAUGUAACGGGGCUAAACCAUGCACCGAAGCUGCGGCAGCGACGCUUAUGCGUUGUUGGGUAGGGGAGCGUUCUGUAAGCCUGUGAAGGUGUGCUGUGAGGCAUGCUGGAGGUAUCAGAAGUGCGAAUGCUGACAUAAGUAACGAUAAAGCGGGUGAAAAGCCCGCUCGCCGGAAGACCAAGGGUUCCUGUCCAACGUUAAUCGGGGCAGGGUGAGUCGACCCCUAAGGCGAGGCCGAAAGGCGUAGUCGAUGGGAAACAGGUUAAUAUUCCUGUACUUGGUGUUACUGCGAAGGGGGGACGGAGAAGGCUAUGUUGGCCGGGCGACGGUUGUCCCGGUUUAAGCGUGUAGGCUGGUUUUCCAGGCAAAUCCGGAAAAUCAAGGCUGAGGCGUGAUGACGAGGCACUACGGUGCUGAAGCAACAAAUGCCCUGCUUCCAGGAAAAGCCUCUAAGCAUCAGGUAACAUCAAAUCGUACCCCAAACCGACACAGGUGGUCAGGUAGAGAAUACCAAGGCGCUUGAGAGAACUCGGGUGAAGGAACUAGGCAAAAUGGUGCCGUAACUUCGGGAGAAGGCACGCUGAUAUGUAGGUGAAGUCCCUCGCGGAUGGAGCUGAAAUCAGUCGAAGAUACCAGCUGGCUGCAACUGUUUAUUAAAAACACAGCACUGUGCAAACACGAAAGUGGACGUAUACGGUGUGACGCCUGCCCGGUGCCGGAAGGUUAAUUGAUGGGGUCAGCGCAAGCGAAGCUCUUGAUCGAAGCCCCGGUAAACGGCGGCCGUAACUAUAACGGUCCUAAGGUAGCGAAAUUCCUUGUCGGGUAAGUUCCGACCUGCACGAAUGGCGUAAUGAUGGCCAGGCUGUCUCCACCCGAGACUCAGUGAAAUUGAACUCGCUGUGAAGAUGCAGUGUACCCGCGGCAAGACGGAAAGACCCCGUGAACCUUUACUAUAGCUUGACACUGAACAUUGAGCCUUGAUGUGUAGGAUAGGUGGGAGGCUUUGAAGUGUGGACGCCAGUCUGCAUGGAGCCGACCUUGAAAUACCACCCUUUAAUGUUUGAUGUUCUAACGUUGACCCGUGAUCCGGGUUGCGGACAGUGUCUGGUGGGUAGUUUGACUGGGGCGGUCUCCUCCUAAAGAGUAACGGAGGAGCACGAAGGUUGGCUAAUCCUGGUCGGACAUCAGGAGGUUAGUGCAAUGGCAUAAGCCAGCUUGACUGCGAGCGUGACGGCGCGAGCAGGUGCGAAAGCAGGUCAUAGUGAUCCGGUGGUUCUGAAUGGAAGGGCCAUCGCUCAACGGAUAAAAGGUACUCCGGGGAUAACAGGCUGAUACCGCCCAAGAGUUCAUAUCGACGGCGGUGUUUGGCACCUCGAUGUCGGCUCAUCACAUCCUGGGGCUGAAGUAGGUCCCAAGGGUAUGGCUGUUCGCCAUUUAAAGUGGUACGCGAGCUGGGUUUAGAACGUCGUGAGACAGUUCGGUCCCUAUCUGCCGUGGGCGCUGGAGAACUGAGGGGGGCUGCUCCUAGUACGAGAGGACCGGAGUGGACGCAUCACUGGUGUUCGGGUUGUCAUGCCAAUGGCACUGCCCGGUAGCUAAAUGCGGAAGAGAUAAGUGCUGAAAGCAUCUAAGCACGAAACUUGCCCCGAGAUGAGUUCUCCCUGAC
Molecule: ribosomal RNA, 2793 nt
Filed under: Escherichia coli
Lineage: Bacteria; Pseudomonadati; Pseudomonadota; Gammaproteobacteria; Enterobacterales; Enterobacteriaceae
Description: partial 23S ribosomal RNA
Rfam family: Bacterial large subunit ribosomal RNA
Source: RNAcentral